AUUGAACGCUGGCGGCAGGCCUAACACAUGCAAGUCGAGCGGCAGCGGGACCUUCGGGUUGCCGGCGAGCGGCGGACGGGUGAGUAAUGCCUAGGAAUCUGCCUGUUAGUGGGGGAUAACGCGGGGAAACUCGCGCUAAUACCGCAUACGUCCUACGGGAGAAAGCGGGGGCUCUUCGGACCUCGCGCUAACAGAUGAGCCUAGGUCGGAUUAGCUAGUUGGUGGGGUAAUGGCCCACCAAGGCGACGAUCCGUAACUGGCCUGAGAGGAUGGUCAGUCACACUGGAACUGAUACACGGUCCAGACUCCUACGGGAGGCUGCAGUGGGGAAUAUUGGACAAUUUGCGAAAGCCUGAUCCAGCCAUGCCGCGUGUGUGAAGAAGGUCUUCGGAUUGUAAAGCACUUUAAGUCGGGAGGAAGGGCUGUAGGCUAAUACCUUGCAGUUUUGACGUUACCGACAGAAUAAGCACCGGCUAACUUCGUGCCAGCCGCCGCGGUAA
This 500-nucleotide ribosomal RNA is filed under the name uncultured bacterium. RNAcentral describes it as "partial 16S ribosomal RNA". It matches the Rfam family "Bacterial small subunit ribosomal RNA", at positions 30 to 523 of the family's 1533-position model. The record is from RNAcentral.